Long non-coding RNA from Maniola jurtina (meadow brown), 172 nucleotides. RefSeq lists it as uncharacterized. The transcript is spliced from 3 exons. The record is from RefSeq and is a predicted model, not a curated record. Lineage: Eukaryota; Metazoa; Arthropoda; Insecta; Lepidoptera; Nymphalidae.
UUAUGUCUAGGGAAUUACUAUUGUUUCUCACGCUUUCGAGUAAUUUUAGUAAAUUAUUUAAAAACAAAACAUUUUAAUUAUGUUUCAAUAGUACUACUGAAGGCAAAUCGUUCUGUGGCGGGAAGACAACCAUUAAAAUUUCAGCUUGUAGAGACUAGCGUUUGGCUGCAAU